Molecule: ribosomal RNA, 1441 nt
Filed under: uncultured Candidatus Pelagibacter sp.
Lineage: Bacteria; Pseudomonadati; Pseudomonadota; Alphaproteobacteria; Candidatus Pelagibacterales; Candidatus Pelagibacteraceae
Description: bacterial SSU rRNA
Rfam family: Bacterial small subunit ribosomal RNA
Source: RNAcentral
AGGGUUCGAUCAUGGCUCAGAACGUACGCUGGCGGCACGCCUAACACAUGCAAGUCGAACGAAGUAGCAAUACUUAGUGGCAGACGGGUGAGCAACAUGUAGGUAUCUGCCCUUUGGCCUGGAAUAACACGAGGAAACUUGUGCUAAUACCGGAUAAGUCUUUACGGAGAAAGCUUUAUGCACCAUUGGAUGAGCCUGCAUUUGAUUAGUUUGUUGGUGGGGUAAUGGCCUACCAAGACUGUGAUCAAUAGCUGAUUUGAGAGGAUGAUCAGCCACAUUGGGACUGAGACACGGCCCAAACUCCUACGGGAGGCAGCAGUGGGGAAUCUUGCACAAUGGAGGAAACUCUGAUGCAGCGAUGCCGCGUGAGUGAAGAAGGCCCUUGGGUUGUAAAGCUCUUUCGUCGGGGAAGAAAAUGACUGUACCCGAAUAAGAAGGCCCGGCUAACUUCGUGCCAGCAGCCGCGGUAAUACGAAGGGACCUAGCGUAGUUCGGAAUUACUGGGCUUAAAGAGUUCGUAGGUGGUUGAAAAAGUUGGUGGUGAAAUCCCAGAGCUUAACUCUGGAACUGCCAUCAAAACUUUUCAGCUAGAGUAUGAUAGAGGAAAGCAGAAUUUCUAGUGUAGAGGUGAAAUUCGUAGAUAUUAGAAAGAAUACCAAUUGCGAAGGCAGCUUUCUGGAUCAUUACUGACAUUGAGGAACGAAAGCAUGGGUAGCGAAGAGGAUUAGAUACCCUCGUAGUCCAUGCCGUAAACGAUGUGUGUUAGACGUUGGAAAUUUAUUUUCAGUGUCGCAGCGAAAGCGAUAAACACACCGCCUGGGGAGUACGACCGCAAGGUUAAAACUCAAAUGAAUUGACGGGGACCCGCACAAGUAGUGGAGCAUGUGGUUUAAUUCGAAGAUACGCGCAGAACCUUACCAACACUUGACAUGUUCGUCGCGACUUUAAGAGAUUAAAGUUUUCGGUUCGGCCGGACGAAACACAGGUGCUGCAUGGCUGUCGUCAGCUCGUGUCGUGAGAUGUUGGGUUAAGUCCCGCAACGAGCGCAACCCUCACUUUUAGUUGCCAUCAUUAAGUUGGGCACUCUGAAAGAACUGCCAGUGAUAAGCUGGAGGAAGGUGGGGAUGACGUCAAGUCCUCAUGGCCCUUACGUGUUGGGCUACACACGUGCUACAAUGGUAUCUACAACAGGAAGCAAGACGGCGGCGUCAAGCAAAUCCUUAAAAGAUACCUCAGUUCGGAUUGCACUCUGCAACUCGAGUGCAUGAAGCUGGAAUUACUAGUAAUCGUGGAUCAGCGUGCCACGGUGAAUGCGUUCCCGGGCCUUGUACACACCGCCCGUCACACCAUGGGAGUUGGUUCUACCUUAAGGCAAGGUUUAAAACCCUUGACCACGGUAUAGUCAGCGACUGGGGUGAAGUCGUAACAAGGUAGCCAAGGG